RNAcentral lists this long non-coding RNA (797 nucleotides) under Arachis ipaensis. RNAcentral's name for it is "long non-coding RNA (AIPA_LNC000422)". The record is from RNAcentral. Lineage: Eukaryota; Viridiplantae; Streptophyta; Magnoliopsida; Fabales; Fabaceae.
ACGAUUCUAAAAUGAUUAAAGUGAAAAAUUCGUGUUUAUAUACUUUUUUCCUCAAGUAAUUAAACACAAUAAACCGGUCAACUAAAGCAGAUAUCUUGUUUUACUUUUGUGUUUACUUUCUUUUAACAAUUAGCAAGGGACAAAUGGACAACAUAAUUCUUAAUUCUAAACAAAAUACAUUCUUCUAUGACCCCAACUUGUAGCAUAACUUUUGUAAAGUCCAAAUAAUAAUUGAGGCAAAAAUUUUGUCUCUUACAACUUCAACGUAACCAAAAACCAUCUUUUUGUUUUUGGGGUUGCAAAAGUUAAACCAGACAUAAUCAAUCAACUUGUAGUAUUGACCAAACAAAAGCCUAAAGCCAUGGUUGGAUACUCCUUAAAUUCAACAAAGGGACUUGAAACCUGUACAGUUUCUUUAGGAUAUAUAAUUAAAGCAAGAAUGACUUCUGUGGAAAUUUACUAUUUAAAUUGGGUGGAUCUCCAGUAUUUCAGGAUGACAACGAGACAAUGCAUAGUUUGCUUAUCCUAAUCACUCUUGGCAAUCAUUAUAACGAGCGAGAUUAAAGGGUCCGAGCAAAACUUAGCAUUAUAACAUUGAGUCCCUUUUCCACUAUGAGAAAUUUCCGUGGAUCUGAUCCAUGCCAUUUUCUGAUGAGCAGGAUCCUCUUAAAGAGGCAAGCUCAGAGUAUACUUUUAUGGCACUGGAUUGAGGAAGAAGGAAAUAACACUAGCUAAGUUUUCAGAGAGAGAAAGAGAAUUCAGAACAUUUUGAGAGAUAGGAAAAGUGGAUAUAUUAC